Molecule: ribosomal RNA, 402 nt
Filed under: uncultured bacterium
Lineage: Bacteria
Description: bacterial SSU rRNA
Rfam family: Bacterial small subunit ribosomal RNA
Source: RNAcentral
UAGGAAAUAUUGGACAAUGGGCGCAAGCCUGAUCCAGCCAUGCCGCGUGAGUGAUGAAGGCCUUAGGGUUGUAAAGCUCUUUUAGCAGGGAAGAUAAUGACGGUACCUGCAGAAAAAGCCCCGGCUAACUUCGUGCCAGCAGCCGCGGUAAUACGAAGGGGGCUAGCGUUGCUCGGAAUUACUGGGCGUAAAGCGCACGUAGGCGGACUCUUAAGUCGGUGGUGAAAUCCUGGAGCUCAACUCCAGAACUGCCUUCGAUACUGGGAGUCUUGAGUUCGGGAGAGGUGAGUGGAACUGCGAGUGUAGAGGUGAAAUUCGUAGAUAUUCGCAAGAACACCAGUGGCGAAGGCGGCUCACUGGCCCGAUACUGACGCUGAGGUGCGAAAGCGUGGGGAGCAAACA